CAAUAGCGUAUAUUAAAGUUGUUGCGGUAAAAAAGCUCGUAGUUGGAUUUCUACCGAAGAUAGCCGGUCGGGUCUUCGACCUUGUAUCUGGUUUUGUCUUUGGUAUCCUCAUAGGGAACGUUUCUGCGCUUUAUUGCGUGGUGCGGUAUCUAUGACUUUUACUUUGAGGAAAUUAGAGUGUUCACGGCAGGCAAACGCCUUGAAUAUAUUAGCAUGGAAUAAUGACAUAGGAUCUUCGUCCUAUUUUGUUGGUUUCUAGGGCUAAGAUAAUGAUUAAUAGGGAUAAUUGGGGGCAUCUGUAUCAACGCGUCAGAGGUGGAAUUCUUGGAUUGCGUUGCGACAAACUACUGCGAAAGCAUUUGCCAAGGAUGUUUUCAUUGA
This 381-nucleotide ribosomal RNA is filed under the name uncultured eukaryote. RNAcentral describes it as "partial 18S ribosomal RNA". It matches the Rfam family "Eukaryotic small subunit ribosomal RNA", at positions 592 to 976 of the family's 1831-position model. The record is from RNAcentral.